UACGGAGGGUGCAAGCGUUAUCCGGAUUCACUGGGUUUAAAGGGUGCGUAGGAGGGCAGGUAAGUCAGUGGUGAAAUCCUAGAGCUUAACUCUAGAACUGCCGUUGAUACUAUCUGUCUUGAAUAUUGUGGAGGUGAGCGGAAUAUGUCAUGUAGCGGUGAAAUGCGCAGAUAUCAGGAGGAACACCAAUAGCGAAGGCAGCUCGCUGGGACGGUACUGACGCUGAGACGCGAAAGCGUGGGGAGCAAACAGG
RNAcentral lists this ribosomal RNA (253 nucleotides) under uncultured bacterium. RNAcentral describes it as "partial 16S ribosomal RNA". It matches the Rfam family "Bacterial small subunit ribosomal RNA", at positions 524 to 776 of the family's 1533-position model. The record is from RNAcentral.